UACGUAGGGGGCAAGCGUUGUCCGGAAUCAUUGGGCGUAAAGAGCGUGUAGGCGGUCAGGUAGGUCGGUUGUGAAAACUGGAGGCUCAACCUUCAGAGGUCGACCGAAACCCCCUGGCUAGAGUCCGGGAGAGGAGAGUGGAAUUCCUGGUGUAGCGGUGAAAUGCGCAGAUAUCGGGAAGAACACCCGUGGCGAAAGCGGCUCUCUGGAACGGUACUGACGCUGAGACGCGAAAGCGUGGGGAGCGAACAGG
This 253-nucleotide ribosomal RNA is filed under the name uncultured bacterium. RNAcentral's name for it is "partial 16S ribosomal RNA". It matches the Rfam family "Bacterial small subunit ribosomal RNA", at positions 524 to 776 of the family's 1533-position model. The record is from RNAcentral.